UCUCUUUGUUUGUAGGCCUGACCAUUUGUCCCUUUUGCCGCAGACGGUCAACAAUCCGCUAGCUGUCUUGCUCUGACUGGUGCACUGGACAUGAUUUCAAUGAGAGUCAUCAUACUGAUUGUUUAAUUCAAACAUGAAUUUCAGUUUGUUCGUUAGAGUACUAACUUAGCUGUGUAUUUACAGUGGACGUAGUGGUGCGUCGCAUGCGGUAGACUAGGUAUUUCCAUAUAUACACUAUGUUUACAGAAUUGCGGCCGGUGAAGCAACAUAGCUGAUGAGUAAAUAGCGCUAGUUCUUCAGACAAAUAACUUUAUUUUCAACCUAUAAAGCAUAUUUAGCUGUAGGUGGGGCCAUUUAGCUGUAAGAUCUGGCUUUGGUUCUGUUAAGCCCUUAGAGUAAUGAAUUUCAGAGUGAAGACCAUAGCGCCUUUUCCUAGUCGAGUAUCGGGCAGCUGUAUGUCUUUUCAGAAAUGCACAUGUCUUCUUUAGUAUGUCAUUGUGAUUGCUUUUAAGAUAGGCAAUAAACUCAUAACCUUUAGAAAAAGGAGCAUCUGUAAAUUCAGAUUUCACUAUUUCAGAGUCAGCCAGACCAUGAUUGAGCUUAAGGAUUGUGCUGCGGAUGCGGCCUGUGCAGUUCCGGGAGAAAGUCACUGUCUUGGGCAUUGCGGUCUGGUAUCAGGUCUGGAUGAUCCUUGCCUGACUCCGGGUUUGUGUACACCUCAAUCCGACUCCCUGUCCGGUACCAUGGCCGCAGUGGUGCAGCCCUUGUGGACGAUCCAUCGACAUCCUGAAAGGUCAACACUUCACCAAGCUGGGAAAAUUGAUCCUGAUAGUCAUCCCCAGAGUCAGCCAGACCAUGAUUGAGCUUAAGGAUUGUGCUGCGGAUGCGGCCUGUGCAGUUCCGGGAGAAAGUCACUGUCUUGGGCAUUGCGGUCUGGUAUCAGGUCUGGAUGAUCCUUGCCUGACUCCGGGUUUGUGUACACCUCAAUCCGACUCCCUGUCCGGUACCAUGGCCGCAGUGGUGCAGCCCUUGUGGACGAUCCAUCGACAUCCUGAAAGGUCAACACUUCACCAAGCUGGGAAAAUUGAUCCUGAUAGUCAUCCCCAGAGUCAGCCAGACCAUGAUUGAGCUUAAGGAUUGUGCUGCGGAUGCGGCCUGUGCAGUUCCGGGAGAAAGUCACUGUCUUGGGCAUUGCGGUCUGGUAUCAGGUCUGGAUGAUCCUUGCCUGACUCCGGGUUUGUGUACACCUCAAUCCGACUCCCUGUCCGGUACCAUGGCCGCAGUGGUGCAGCCCUUGUGGACGAUCCAUCGACAUCCUGAAAGGUCAACACUUCACCAAGCUGGGAAAAUUGAUCCUGAUAGUCAUCCCCAGGUAGUGAAAUGAAUGUACACUGAACUACAGAGGAAUCACACCCAAAUGACUUUUCUGACAUUAGUGUGGCCCCUCGGGCAGGAAUUCCUUAGCAAACAUGCUUUUUUGCAUGGGGACUGUGGCAUUUUUGCAAAACUUAAGCUUUCAACGCUGGAUUUUAAAGAGAACACUUAAUAAAAUGAAGCCAACAGGACUUAUUUUAAUGAGAGAGACUAUCUGGAUGAGCAACAAAUGUCACAUUGUGUCGUAAGCUGUUGAAGGAGCGAUUUGCGCCAUUUCAAGUGUUAAUUUUGGGUAGCAGGCUUGUAUCGGCUUGAAAGCUGCAAAUUAUUCCUCUCAUCAUGAUAGCAUUAAUUAUUUUAAUUGCAAUGUGUAUGUUUAGAUUGUAAGUGAAGCUUUUAAUAAUAAUUUUCUUGAAAAACAUGA
Dreissena polymorpha is the source of this 1798-nucleotide RNA transcript. RefSeq lists it as uncharacterized. NCBI's taxonomy places the organism in Eukaryota, Metazoa, Mollusca, Bivalvia, Myida, Dreissenidae. The record is from RefSeq and is a predicted model, not a curated record. The transcript is spliced from 7 exons.